Molecule: non-coding RNA, 634 nt
Organism: Chiloscyllium plagiosum (whitespotted bambooshark)
Lineage: Eukaryota; Metazoa; Chordata; Chondrichthyes; Orectolobiformes; Hemiscylliidae
Source: RefSeq, a predicted model, not a curated record
GGGAAUGUUUGGCUGCUUGCCUUACCAGAUGUGGUCCUGAGAUAAGCAAGGAGGAGGGGACGAUGUGAAAGAGACUGACAAGAACCCCAGAAAAUGCACACAAGCCCACUUUUUACUGCAGCUGCACGAUCGCUUCAGAACAGGAGACAGGAUGAACAAAAAGCUUCCAGCCUAAUCCUCAAUGCCAUUAUAUGUUAGAUAAGUGGAAGCCAGCUCUCCUAUCAAGUUCAUUCCACGCAAGUCACAUCACCCUUCCCUUUUUAUCCCUGAAAAUUUCAAGCCUUUGGUAUCUCUUAGGGAUGAAAGAUGGAUAUCCAGGCAAGGACAUUAUUAAUUCAGAAAAUGAACUCUGGGACACAGACGCUUCUUGCCCACGUGAUCCUGGAUCAGGAUUGAAUUGGACUUCUGACAGAGGAGUGAGAACAACAUGUAUUUAGUGCCUUACUUUUGUUAUACCUCUGGCUCAGAACUGGUUUCUUUCUGUGACUCCAGCCCAGACGGGAAAGCUCCACUGUUUCAGUCUACUUCCUUCCUGAGCAACUGUGCUGAAGUGUUAACAGCACUAAUUUGUGGAAACGGCCUUAAUCCUAACUGACUUGUUGUGGUCAACUGCAAUUGAUGCCACAGAGCAAAA